UACAGAGGGUGCGAGCGUUAGUCGGAAUUACUGGGCGUAAAGCGUGCGUAGACGGUUAUUUAAGUCGGAUGUGAAAGCCCCGGGCUCAACCUGGGAAUUGCAUUCGAGACUGAAUAGCUAGGGUGCGGUAGAGGGAAGCGGAAUUUCCGGUGUAGCGGUGAAAUGCGUAGAUAUCGGAAGGAACAUCAGUGGCGAAAGCGGCUUCCUGGACCAGCACCGACGUUCAGGCACGAAAGCGUGGGGAGCAAACAGG
This 253-nucleotide ribosomal RNA is filed under the name uncultured bacterium. RNAcentral describes it as "partial 16S ribosomal RNA". It matches the Rfam family "Bacterial small subunit ribosomal RNA", at positions 524 to 776 of the family's 1533-position model. The record is from RNAcentral.